This 499-nucleotide ribosomal RNA is filed under the name uncultured bacterium. RNAcentral's name for it is "partial 16S ribosomal RNA". It matches the Rfam family "Bacterial small subunit ribosomal RNA", at positions 28 to 507 of the family's 1533-position model. The record is from RNAcentral.
GAUGAACGCUGGCGGCGUGCCUAAUACAUGCAAGUCGAGCGAACAGACGAGAGUGCUUGCACUCUCUGACGUUAGCGGCGGACGGGUGAGUAACACGUGGGUAACCUACCUAUAAGACUGGGAUAACUUCGGGAAACCGGAGCUAAUACCGGAUAAUAUUUAGCUUCGCAUGAAGCAAUAGUGAAAGACGGUUCUGCUGUCACUUAUAGAUGGACCCGCGGUGUAUUAGCUAGUUGGUGAGGUAACGGCUCACCAAGGCAACGAUACAUAGUCGACCUGAGAGGGUGAUCGGCCACACUGGGACUGAGACACGGCCCAGACUCCUACGGGAGGCAGCAGUAGGGAAUCUUCCGCAAUGGACGAAAGUCUGACGGAGCAAUGCCGCGUGAGUGAAGAAGGUUUUCGGAUCGUAAAACUCUGUUGUAAGGGAAGAACAAGUACGUUAGUAACUGAACGUACCUUGACGGUACCUUACCAGAAAGCCACGGCUAACUACGUG